GGAGGGAUGGGGAGGGGACUAGGGUCACCUACUGGCAGGCCAGGCCAGGCCAGGUCAAGUUGGAAAAGGAAGCAGAACCAUGGGCCAGUAAGAUGGCUCUGUGGAUGUGGGACUGAGGUUCAGAGGCCAUUCCCUGAGGUGUCUUGGCUGGAAUCAACUAUGUUGUCGAACUGGCCACUCAGCACCAUGUCAGCCCAGGGACAGGCAGCAAGUGGGAAAGCCUCCGUGACUUGGUGACUGGCUAGUAAUGUUCACACCUAUAGAAGGAGGCAGAACAGAUCUACAAAAUGAGGACUCCUGCACCCUGUCAGCCUUUUCACCUCAUCUGCAGUGAACAGAGGAUACAAGGAGACAGGCCAUGAGAGAGCUCAGGCUGCUUCAGUGUAUUUCUGAGAGGCUGGGAGCAGGCUGCCUGUAAGCCCAGGAGCUGCACCACAAAUUCUGUGCAAAAAAAACCCCUCAAGAUUAAUGACACUGGGCUGUCACCAUCUUGCCCCUAAGGCUGAGGAACUUGUUGAAGAAAGACAUCUGGGCUACAAUAAACAGUAAUGAGGUGUGACAAUACAGGCCUUGCUCUGGAUUUAUCCUUGUUUAAAUAAUGGGUUUCCAAAGUCCACCCAAGUGCACACCUGCAUUUUCGCAAGGAGAGAGCACAGAAGGCCGCCAGGGGCUAAAGAUGUCUACCCCAGCUUUGCUCUAGAGCUUCUUGAGUAACAAGGAAAGCAGUGUUUUUUACCUGUGGUGCCCCCUUCGAGCCCAGCACCAUAGGCUGACACUAGAGCAGGAUUCCCUGCUUGGCCAGGCUCUCCAACACGCACUUUGAAAGGGCUCCCAACCACGUGGCUCCCAUUGAACUUAACAUCGAUUGUGUGGAUGCCGUUCUCAUGCGGGAUGAAGCGAACAGCAUACUUAUCUAGAAGGAGAAGAGACACAAGGUAAAUGUGGGUGGUAAGCAGCCUGGAGUUAAGUGAGGACACAGAAUUGCAAGUCAACCUGAGCUGGCUAGUGUUGAAUCAUUUAAAGACUCUGUUCUGCUGGGUGCCUGGAAGCUAACACACAGAUUUCAAGACCAGUUAGACUUACUUGUGUCUCCCUAAUCAGUCCUUUGGGAAAUGUUUUGAAUCUCCAAUUCAGAACAUUCAUCAGAACACUGAGGCCCCUGCUUCACAAUCUGCUCUUUAUGAAAAGCUCACUUCUCACCAUGUUUCCCUAUUUGGCUCCUUGAAGGGAAAAAUACAGUUCCAACUGGCAUUAAGGCUCUGUAAUUAAGCUUGAGAAAAGCAACUGUCAGCAACAGAAACAGUCAGGCUGUUCUGUUUUGGGUCACCACAUGUGUCAAGGUCCUCUGUCAACAGACGAGUGCCUAGACUGGCCUUGCACGCCAUAGCAUGUGGCUUCUUUGAAACAGUUAGUCUCUGCUUCCAUGAACUCCUUAAGAACUCGUGGCCAUCAAUGCUCUACCCAGACUCACUUUUGUUUCUCUGGUACUCUCCACAAAGGAAUGUUCUAGACAGACCUACCUACCCAUAUCUUUCAGUACUGCACUUCCCCAAGCAUUUCCCAACUGAGUGCCCACCCUCCUUCCUUAAAGCCAAAAUGUUUCAGGGGAAGUGAACCCCACCCCAAUGUCCAGAUGUGGUCUUUAACAGGAUGGGGAAAAUUCUUUCCCCAAGGUAAAUCAAUUCAUUUCUUUAGUCAUAGGAAGUGACUCAGGAAUGGGCAUGUGUCCAGUACAUUGAGACAGGAGGAGAGGCCUGCUAGAGACUUAUAGAUUUCUUGCCUCUUGAGACUUCUGAAAACGAAUCCUGAGAAGAUGUCUCUUGACUGAUAUGGUAUAAAAAUGAAACAGCAGGUGCUGCUGUAACCAUCUUGCCACAAAAAAGUCAAGAAGCCUUGAAAUGAAGGAAGAGUAAGUGCACAUUGGGCCUGAUGUUUCAUAAUGGGAUGCAGUGGGGAGCCUGAGGCAGGAAGGUAACGGGUAUAAAGUUACUCUGGGAUAUAUGAAUUCCAGGCCAGCCGGGGUUACACAGAGAGGCUCUGAUUUCAAAAAAAUAAAACAAAGCAAAGCAAACAAAGCACAACAACAAAAAAAUCUUUGGGAACCUUGAGAAUGCCCACUAGUGACUGUUAAAAUUUACCAGACUCUGAACUCAGCAGUUAUAUGAAUCAUUGGGCCUUAUUAUUACAUGUGUUGGGUAUUCUAUAAUUGUAAUGAAUAACACCCCAACUAUGGCAUGCCAGUAAUGAUCUUAGAUACCACUGGGACUACAGAGGCUGCCUGGGCCAAGGACAAAUUUCAAUUGCUGCUGAGCUCAAUGCCAUGGACAUCUAAUUGAUAAGUAUUGGAUCCCCGGUUACUGAGUAUUUCUCAGGUGCGGGGUUUGGAGAGGGCAGCUGAGGGUGGGGUUUGGAAAGGGCAGCUCCAGGAGAGAUCCCCAACACUAAUAAACACCACCACCUGAUUAUCUGACACUCCAAGUAAGAAAGAGAUCCUAAUCAACUCCUGUGCCCCUCUAGCCAGGUAUCCUCAGUUCUGCUAACUGUAUGGGCACCUUCGUACCCACGCACCCAGAACACCACAUCUGUGUGUGUGGUCUGGAGGCUAGAGGUUGACACUGGGUAUCUUCUUCAGUGACUCUUCAUCUCAUUUUUUUGAGAUAGGUUCUUUUACUGAACCUGGAGCUCACUAAUGUGGUUAGACUGGCUGGCUAGCAAAAGCCUCUUAUCUCUGCUCCCCACUCCCACCCCAUCACAGCUGUGUGCCUGGUGGAAUCAAACUCAGGUCCCUAUGCUUGUACUUUACUAAGUGAACCAUCUCCCUCGUCCUUACAUGCUGUCUUUCAAAAUUCACUCUCAAACCCUAGGGCCAA
This is a long non-coding RNA of Peromyscus eremicus (cactus mouse), 2870 nucleotides long. RefSeq lists it as uncharacterized. The transcript is spliced from 3 exons. The record is from RefSeq and is a predicted model, not a curated record. Lineage: Eukaryota; Metazoa; Chordata; Mammalia; Rodentia; Cricetidae.